AUGUUCAUGCCAGAGUUCCCAACUGUGAGGGUUUUGCAUCGUCUCUUCUUCUCUUUCGGUGUAUGCAUCGAAGCUUUCAGGCAUUGCCGACCGGUGAUAUGUGUUGACGGUACUUUUCUCACAGGCAAGUACAAGGGUCAGAUCCUGACAGCCAUAGGUCAAGACGGCCAAAAUCAAGUCGUCCCACUGGCAUUUGCUUUUGUGGAGAGUGAGAACAUUGAAAGUUGGACAUGGUUCUUCAGGCAGUUGAAAAUAUCAGUUGUGAAGGAGAAGCCCAAUGUGUGCAUCCUUCAUGACAGGCAUGCAGGUAUACUCAGUGCGAUAAGGACACUGACAAACCCAGGCCCUGAGGAACAAGUUCCAUGGCAGGACUUGCAGAGCCGUUGGUGCAUGCGCCAUCUCAGGGCUAAUUUCUUCUCGCAGUUUAGAAAUAAGAACCUGAUGAAUCUGUUCAAAAAACUCUGCAAGCAGAACCAGUUAUGGAAGUACAAUUUGAUACGCGACAGACUUAAUGUGUGCACGCAGAGACACGUGAGGGACAGGAAAGCUGCAAGAGAUGCAGCGGUGAGGGCACAUGUUGAAGCAGUAGCUGCACAGUUGGCAACAGGAACAGCGGCCGUGGAGGAGGAGGCUGUUGGGCUAUGUGACAUGCCAGGCUUUGACCCACCUGGUACUAGGAGAAGGCUCGGGAGGUCGAUUAAAACCUUCGAGCAGUGGAUAGAGCAUGAGCCUCUGGAGAGGUGGUCUUUGCUACAUGACACACAUGGAGCAAGGUACGGUGUCAUGACAACGAACCUCGCGGAAACAUACAACUUUGUCCUCAGAGGAAACCGGGCAUUGCCACUUACAGCCAUCAUUGAGGGUAUUUUCUAUGGCACCGUCAAGUAUUUCAGAGACAGACGUCAAAUAGCAGAGCAGCAUAUCUUGAACAACCCAAAUAAUCGGUACUGUGAAAGAGUCACGAAGUACAUGGACAACAAGAUGCAAAAAGCUAGGUCACACACUGUAGUCGCCAUUGGUAAUCAAGAAAGAAGGUUUGAGGUCCGCUUAGCCAACAACAAAUUCGGAUGUGCAAAUGAGUUGAGGACGCAUGAGGUGAAAAUUGGCAAUGAAGCCUGGCCAACGUGUGAGUGCACAUGCAAUAAACCGAAAUUGCUUCACCUACCUUGCUCACAUGUACUUGCUCUUGCGGGCAGCUUGGAAUGGACGCAAUAUCGUUUGUGUCUCCAUAUUUUCUGA
RNAcentral lists this ribosomal RNA (1239 nucleotides) under Triticum aestivum (bread wheat). RNAcentral describes it as "partial small subunit ribosomal RNA". Lineage: Eukaryota; Viridiplantae; Streptophyta; Magnoliopsida; Poales; Poaceae. The record is from RNAcentral.